GCGUCUGUAGCUCAUGUUGGUUAGAGCCACCACCUUGACAUGGUGGGGGUCGAAUGGUUCGAGUCCAUUCAGACGCACCA
RNAcentral lists this transfer RNA (80 nucleotides) under Klebsiella pneumoniae. RNAcentral describes it as "tRNA-Val". It matches the Rfam family "tRNA". Rfam says of the family: Transfer RNA (tRNA) molecules are approximately 80 nucleotides in length. Their secondary structure includes four short double-helical elements and three loops (D, anti-codon, and T loops). Further hydrogen bonds mediate the characteristic L-shaped molecular structure. tRNAs have two regions of fundamental functional importance: the anti-codon, which is responsible for specific mRNA codon recognition, and the 3' end, to which the tRNAs corresponding amino acid is attached (by aminoacyl-tRNA synthetases). tRNAs cope with the degeneracy of the genetic code in two manners: having more than one tRNA (with a specific anti-codon) for a particular amino acid; and 'wobble' base-pairing, i.e. permitting non-standard base-pairing at the 3rd anti-codon position. The record is from RNAcentral. Lineage: Bacteria; Pseudomonadati; Pseudomonadota; Gammaproteobacteria; Enterobacterales; Enterobacteriaceae.